This 465-nucleotide ribosomal RNA is filed under the name uncultured bacterium. RNAcentral describes it as "partial 16S ribosomal RNA". It matches the Rfam family "Bacterial small subunit ribosomal RNA", at positions 338 to 795 of the family's 1533-position model. The record is from RNAcentral.
CCUACGGGCGGCAGCAGUGGGGAAUCUUGCGCAAUGGGCGAAAGUCUGACGCAGCGACGCCGCGUGAGGGAUGAAGGUCUUCGGAUCGUAAACCUCUGUCAGCAGGGAAGAAUGGUCACUGUGCUAAUCAGCAGUGAAUUGACGGUACCUGCAAAGGAAGCACCGGCUAACUACGUGCCAGCAGCCGCGGUAAUACGGAGGGUGCGAGCGUUAAUCGGAAUUACUGGGCGUAAAGCGAGCGUAGGCGGUAUGUUAAGUCAAGGGUGAAAUCCCCGCGCUCAACGUGGGAACUGCCUUUGAAACUGGCAAACUUGAGUGUGUGAGAGGAGAGUGGAAUUCCAGGUGUAGGAGUGAAAUCCGUAGAUAUCUGGAGGAACAUCAGUGGCGAAGGCGACUAUCUGGCACAUAACUGACGCUGAGGAGCGAAAGCGUGGGGAGCAAACAGGAUUAGAUACCCGAGUAGUC